This 575-nucleotide long non-coding RNA is filed under the name Capsicum annuum. RNAcentral's name for it is "long non-coding RNA (CANN_LNC016561)". The record is from RNAcentral. Lineage: Eukaryota; Viridiplantae; Streptophyta; Magnoliopsida; Solanales; Solanaceae.
AACAAACCCAGUGUAUUCCCACCUAGUGGGGUCUGGGUGGGGGGGUAAGAUGUACGCAGUCCAUACCUCUACCUCUAAAGAAGUAGAAAGGCUGUUUCCGAUAGACCCCCGGCUCAAGUCACAAGAUACCACACAAACUCAUAGUAAAGCACAGAACUAGAUUACAUAACAUAAAUACUGCACCCAUAAGUAUUAGAAAACAGAGGAAAGCACACAGAUUCGUAAUAAAACAUGGAACACGGAAUCAUAACAAAAAUAAAACCCCCACCAGGUAAUUCCUUACACUAGCGACCCAAAUCGGCCCUAGUCUUCUGCCCUAAUUCGCGUCCUCCAGACCGUCCUAUCUAGGUCAUGUCCUCGGUGAGUUGUAACUGCUCCAUGUCCCGCCUAAUCACCUCACCCCAGUACUUCUUCGGUCUACCCCUACCCCGCCUAAAACCAUCUAACGCUAGCCUCUCACACCUACGAACCGGGGCAUCCAUGCCCCUCCUCUUCACGUGUCCGAACCAUCUCAAUCGGGCUUCCCGCAUCUUGCACUCCACCGGAGUCACACCAACCUUCUCCCGGAUAGUCUN